Passer domesticus (house sparrow) is the source of this 591-nucleotide long non-coding RNA. RefSeq lists it as uncharacterized. The transcript is spliced from 3 exons. NCBI's taxonomy places the organism in Eukaryota, Metazoa, Chordata, Aves, Passeriformes, Passeridae. The record is from RefSeq and is a predicted model, not a curated record.
CUCACCUGUCCUGUACCUCUGUGCUUUCCCAGGUAGCCACGACCACAGAUAAUGGACCAGAUCUGUCAGCAGCAUCCACCUUGAAAGCAGGCUGCAGGAAAAGAGCUAUAAUGCCAGAGAACACCAGCAUACUGGGUAAAGAAAACAAGAGGACACACUUGUGCAACACAUGACCAACACCUUAGUGCAGCACCAAAAUAGACAGCAAUUCAAAAGAAAAUCCAGGCACAGAAGUCUCCAGCAACUUGCACUUUUUCACAUAGUUACUAAUGAAAUUAAUGCAAAUGGGUUAGUACACCUAAUAAGACUUGAACACAGCACCUAAACACAUGAUUUCACAAACACAGAUGCCACAAAUCAGAAGUUCUGGCAGCCACGUGGUUUUGAACUCAUCCAGCAACAACACAUACAGAAUGAUGAAAACACCAGAUGAAAAGAACAUGAUAUAACAUAAAUGGGCUGAUGUAUUACUGCUGAAAGAAAAUGGUGAACACUUUCCCAGUUGCUUUAAAUUCAGCACUGCAGAACCACUUUUUACAAAACCCCAAGCUGAGACACUCUACUGGCAAGUAAUGCUAUUAGUUCCUGAAA